Long non-coding RNA from Cyprinodon tularosa, 1035 nucleotides. RefSeq lists it as uncharacterized. The record is from RefSeq and is a predicted model, not a curated record. The transcript has 3 exons. NCBI's taxonomy places the organism in Eukaryota, Metazoa, Chordata, Actinopteri, Cyprinodontiformes, Cyprinodontidae.
UAGAACCCCUGUAACUUCCCCUUAAGUAGGACAUUUAAUCUGUUUGUGCUUCUCCAAACCCCAGGAAUGGACAUCUGAGUGGACAACUCUGUCUUUAUUGGAUAAAUUACAGUCACCAGUAUACAGUUUCUCCUGUUCUGCCUGAGGUGCUGCCUUUGUAAAGAAGAUCUAAUGCAGUAUAUCCUACUGAGUAAAGAACAGCCUUACCUUUAGGAAUCCCAGCGGAUUACAAGAGAUUCACUUCUUCAAUACACUCUGACUCCAGACUUUUCACAUACAGGGCCUUACAAAUCUAAACAUAUCUCUUUUUUUCUCAUGAGAUUAGAUUAGAAAAUUUGCAUUGUCUAUAAGUCUGCUUCUACCUUAAAAUAUUGCCCAACUUUAUACACUAAAAACUGACUUUUUGGUUCUGCAAAUAAUGCCUUGGUUUUUAUUUAAAAUAUAUUGCAAAUUACCAUUUUGUGCCUUUACAUCCAAAAUUAUACCUGUUAUCCUUGGUGUUACUUAGAGUUAAUCUGUAAAACUGUUUCAAUCAACAGACAAGUACUUUUAAUUAAUCUAAAACAGAGUGUUAACAAAGGUAUUUCAAUGAAUUCCAAACUUAACAGAUGUAACUAAAAUGUACUUGAAUAUCGAGGGUGUUUAUUUUCCUUUGCUGGACAAUGUUUAGGUGAGAGAUGAAAAAUAUUGUGUACCUGUUGGCUGCACGGUGCUGCAGUUUGUAGCACCGUUGCCUCGCAAUAAGAAGAUUCAAUCCCCACCCCAGAGUCUUUCAUGUUUUCCCUGUACAUAUAUGGGUUCUCUCUGGGUACUCCAGCUUCCUCCCACAGUCAAAAAACAUCACUCUUAAGAAAUCUGGCAUCUCUAGAUAUUCGCUGUUUGGUUGUUUGUCCCGACUCUUACCCCAAAACUGCUGGCACUGUGACCUUGACGGAAUAAGUGGGAGAAAAUUGAAUUUCUUGUUUGUGUCAAUCAGUGACUGACUGUUCUCACUUUCAGUUAGAAAUUAUUGUUUUAAUAUAGCUCAAGCUUGAU